UCGGGAAGUAGCUCAGCUUGGUAGAGCACAUGGUUUGGGACCAUGGGGUCGCAGGUUCGAAUCCUGUCUUCCCGAUCC
RNAcentral lists this transfer RNA (78 nucleotides) under Ornithinibacillus halotolerans. RNAcentral describes it as "tRNA-Pro". It matches the Rfam family "tRNA". Rfam says of the family: Transfer RNA (tRNA) molecules are approximately 80 nucleotides in length. Lineage: Bacteria; Bacillati; Bacillota; Bacilli; Caryophanales; Bacillaceae. The record is from RNAcentral.